UACGUAGGGGCCGAGCGUUGUCCGGAUUUAUUGGGCGUAAAGCGCGCGCAGGCGGCCUCGCGCGCCCGACGUGAAAGCCCCCGGCUUAACCGGGGAGGGUCGUUGGGGACGGCGGGGCUUGAGGGCGGGAGAGGGCGGUGGAAUUCCCGGUGUAGUGGUGAAAUGCGUAGAGAUCGGGAGGAACACCUGUGGCGAAGGCGGCCGUCUGGGCCGACCCUGACGCUGAGGCGCGAAGGCGUGGGGAGCGAACGGG
This 253-nucleotide ribosomal RNA is filed under the name uncultured bacterium. RNAcentral describes it as "partial 16S ribosomal RNA". It matches the Rfam family "Bacterial small subunit ribosomal RNA", at positions 524 to 776 of the family's 1533-position model. The record is from RNAcentral.